CAAACGGCCCUUUUCAGGGCCACUAUUUUCUACAAGAUCGAAACA
Molecule: non-coding RNA, 45 nt
Organism: Tropilaelaps mercedesae
Lineage: Eukaryota; Metazoa; Arthropoda; Arachnida; Mesostigmata; Laelapidae
Source: Rfam